RNAcentral lists this ribosomal RNA (119 nucleotides) under Pteropus alecto (black flying fox). The record is from RNAcentral. RNAcentral also lists the same sequence under 1 other name. Lineage: Eukaryota; Metazoa; Chordata; Mammalia; Chiroptera; Pteropodidae.
GUCUAUGGCCAUGCCACCCUGAACGUGCCCAAUCUUAUCUGAUCUCGGAAGCUAAGCAGGGUUGGGCCUGGUUAGUACUUGAAUGGGAGACCAACUAGGAAGAUCAGGUGCUGUAGGCA